RNAcentral lists this ribosomal RNA (450 nucleotides) under uncultured Glomus. Its description in RNAcentral is "SSU rRNA". It matches the Rfam family "Eukaryotic small subunit ribosomal RNA", at positions 569 to 1026 of the family's 1831-position model. Lineage: Eukaryota; Fungi; Glomeromycota; Glomeromycetes; Glomerales; Glomeraceae. The record is from RNAcentral.
AGCAGCCGCGGUAAUUCCAGCUCCAAUAGCGUAUAUUAAAGUUGCUGCAGUUAAAAAGCUCGUAGUUGAAUUUCGGGAUCAAUAUGUUGGUCGUGCCUCGGUACGUACUAGCUUAUUGGUUUCUCCCUUCUGACGAACCAUGAUGUCAUUUAUUUGGUGUUAUGGGAAAUCAGGACUGUUACUUUGAAAAAUUAGAGUGUUUAAAGCAGGCUCACGCUUGAAUACAUUAGCAUGGAAUAAUGAAAUAGGACGUUUGAUUCUAUUUUGUUGGUUUCUAGGAUCGACGUAAUGAUUAAUAGGGAUAGUUGGGGGCAUUAGUAUUCAAUUGUCAGAGGUGAAAUUCUUGGAUUUAUUGAGGACUAACUACUGCGAAAGCAUUUGCCAAGGAUGUUUUCAUUAAUCAAGAACGAAAGUUAGGGGAUCGAAGACGAUCAGAUACCGUCGUAGUCU